RNAcentral lists this ribosomal RNA (460 nucleotides) under uncultured bacterium. Its description in RNAcentral is "partial 16S ribosomal RNA". It matches the Rfam family "Bacterial small subunit ribosomal RNA", at positions 338 to 795 of the family's 1533-position model. The record is from RNAcentral.
CCUACGGGUGGCAGCAGUGAGGAAUAUUGGUCAAUGGACGCAAGUCUGAACCAGCCAUGCCGCGUGCAGGAGGACGGCCCUAUGAGUUGUAAACUGCUUUUGUACGGGGGUAAACGCAGAUACGCGUAUCUGUCUGAAAGUACCGUACGAAUAAGGAUCGGCUAACUCCGUGCCAGCAGCCGCGGUAAUACGGAGGAUUCAAGCGUUAUCCGGAUUUAUUGGGUUUAAAGGGUGCGUAGGCGGUCGGUUAAGUUAGAGGUGAAAUCCCGAGGCUCAACCUCGGAAUUGCCUUUGAAACGGGUCGGCUAGAGAGUAGUAGCGGUAGGCGGAAUGGGUGGUGUAGCGGUGAAAUGCUUAGAGAUCAUACAGAACACCGAUUGCGAAGGCAGCUUACCAGGCUACUUCUGACGUUGAGGCACGAAAGCGUGGGGAGCAAACAGGAUUAGAUACCCUGGUAGUC